UGCAGUCGAGCGGUAACAGGCGUAGCAAUACGUGCUGACGAGCGGCGAACGGGUGAGCAAUGCUUCGGAAUCUGCCCAAUGAUGGGGAAUAACCAGUCGAAAGAUUGGCUAAUACCGCAUACGCCCUACGGGGGAAAGCGGGGGUCGCAAGACCUCGCGUCGAUGGAUGAGCCGAAGUCGGAUUAGCUAGUUGGUAGGGUAACGGCCUACCAAAGCGACGAUCCGUAGCUGGUCUGAGAGGACGACCAGCCACACUGGGACUGAGACACGGCCCAGACUCCUACGGGAGGCAGCAGUGGGGAAUAUUGCGCAAUGGGCGAAAGCCUGACGCAGCGACGCCGCGUGAGGGAUGAAGGCCUUCGGGUUGUAAACCUCUUUUAGCAGGGAAGAAGCGAAAGUGACGGUACCUGCAGAAGAAGCACCGGCUAACUACGUGCCAGCAGCCGCGGUAAUACGUAGGGUGCAAGCGUUGUCCGGAAUUAUUGGGCGUAAAGAGCUCGUAGGCGGUCUGUCGCGUCUGCUGUGAAAACCUAGGGCUUAACCCUGGGCCUGCAGUGGGUACGGGCAGACUAGAGUGCGGUAGGGGAGACUGGAAUUCCUGGUGUAGCGGUGAAAUGCGCAGAUAUCAGGAGGAACACCGGUGGCGAAGGCGGGUCUCUGGGCCGUAACUGACGCUGAGGAGCGAAAGCAUGGGUAGCGAACAGGAUUAGAUACCCUGGUAGUCCAUGCCGUAAACGUUGGGCGCUAGGUGUGGGGCUCAUUCCACGAGUUCCGUGCCGCAGCAAACGCAUUAAGCGCCCCGCCUGGGGAGUACG
Molecule: ribosomal RNA, 815 nt
Filed under: uncultured Actinomycetales bacterium
Lineage: Bacteria; Bacillati; Actinomycetota; Actinomycetes; Actinomycetales
Description: bacterial SSU rRNA
Rfam family: Bacterial small subunit ribosomal RNA
Source: RNAcentral